This 493-nucleotide ribosomal RNA is filed under the name uncultured bacterium. Its description in RNAcentral is "bacterial SSU rRNA". It matches the Rfam family "Bacterial small subunit ribosomal RNA", at positions 30 to 507 of the family's 1533-position model. The record is from RNAcentral.
AUGAACGCUAGCGGCAGGCUUAAUACAUGCAAGUUGAGGGGCAGCAUGAUAUACGCGAGUAUAUUGAUGGCGACCGGCGGACGGGUGAGUAAUAGGUAGGAGACCUACCUCAUACAGGGGGAUAGCAUAGAGAAAUCUGUGGUAAUACCCCAUGAGGUUAUAUGAAUAGAGGCAUAUAAUCAAAGCAUAAGCGAUUAUGCGGUAUGAGAGGGGCCUACUGACCAUUAGCUAGUUGGUGAGGUAAGGGCUCACCAAGGCGAAGAUGGUAGGGGUUUUGAGAGAGAGACCCCCCACAUUGGAACUGAGAGACGGUCCAGACUCCUACGGGAGGCAGCAGUAGGGAAUAUUGGGCAAUGGGCGAAAGCCUGACCCAGCCAUGCCGCGUGAAGGAAGACGGCCUUAUGGGUUGUAAACUUCUUUACUACGCGAAUAGAGGUUAGUACGAGAUACUAAUAGGAAGGUAGUGUAGUAAAAAGCACCGGCUAACUCCGUG